Molecule: ribosomal RNA, 279 nt
Filed under: uncultured bacterium
Lineage: Bacteria
Description: partial 16S ribosomal RNA
Rfam family: Bacterial small subunit ribosomal RNA
Source: RNAcentral
UGCCAGCCGCCGCGGUAAUACGGAGGGUGCAAGCGUUAUCCGGAAUCAUUGGGUUUAAAGGGUCCGCAGGCGGAUGUAUAAGUCAGUGGUGAAAUCCUGCAGCUUAACUGCAGAACUGCCAUUGAUACUGUACAUCUUGAAUUCGGUCGAAGUGGGCGGAAUGUGUAGUGUAGCGGUGAAAUGCAUAGAUAUUACACAGAACACCGAUAGCGAAGGCAGCUCACUAGGCCGUGAUCGACGCUGAGGAGCGAAAGCUAGGGGAGCAAACAGGAUUAGAUA